This 279-nucleotide unclassified non-coding RNA is filed under the name Hevea brasiliensis (rubber tree). Lineage: Eukaryota; Viridiplantae; Streptophyta; Magnoliopsida; Malpighiales; Euphorbiaceae. The record is from RNAcentral.
AAUCACUAUUGUAAAUACACUAUCUAGUCAAAUAUCUUUUCAAUAACCAUCAGAAUUUACUGAUUACUUAAAAAUCACAAUCUGCAGUUUUCUACUCAAUUUGGAAAUGAUGUUUUGUAGUUUUCUUUAUUGUUAAAUAAAGCAGAAUGUAUAUGGAUGUUCUUCCUUUUUCUUUUGCAUCAAUGGCACUCAAAUAGCAUUCAUGUCAUUAUUUUAAUAUGUUAUAAGCAUUGUCACUAACAAAAAUCUGUUCUGCAGCUUUGUGCUGGACUGAAACAU